CGUCAUUUCACCUCCUUCAUCCGAGAUUACCCCGCUGAACUUAAGCAUAUCAAUAAGGCGGAGGAAAAGAACCAACAGGGAUUGCCUCAGUAACGGCGAGUGAAGCGGCAAAAGCUCAAAUUUGAAACCCUCGGGAUUGUAAUUUGAAGAUUUGGCAUUGGAGAAAGCUAACCCAAGUUGCUUGGAAUAGUACGUCAUAGAGGGUGACAACCCCGUCUGGCUAACCGUUCUCCAUGUAUUGCCUUAUCAAAGAGUCGAGUUGUUUGGGAAUGCAGCUCAAAGUGGGUGGUAAACUCCAUCUAAAGCUAAAUACUGGUGAGAGACCGAUAGCGAACAAGUACUGUGAAGGAAAGGUGAAAAGAACUUUGAAAAGAGAGUGAAAUAGUAUGUGAAAUUGUUGAUAGGGAAGGAAAUGAGUGGAGAGUGGCCGAGGUUUCAGCCGCCCCUCGUGGGCGGUGUACUGCCGACGCCGAGUCAUCGAUAGCGAGACGAGGGUUACAAAUGGGAGCGCCUUCGGGCGUUCUCCCC
RNAcentral lists this ribosomal RNA (528 nucleotides) under Yarrowia lipolytica. RNAcentral describes it as "LSU rRNA". The stretch from base 31 to 348 matches the Rfam family "Eukaryotic large subunit ribosomal RNA", at positions 24 to 358 of the family's 3401-position model. The record is from RNAcentral. Lineage: Eukaryota; Fungi; Ascomycota; Dipodascomycetes; Dipodascales.